Molecule: ribosomal RNA, 497 nt
Filed under: uncultured bacterium
Lineage: Bacteria
Description: partial 16S ribosomal RNA
Rfam family: Bacterial small subunit ribosomal RNA
Source: RNAcentral
GAUGAACGCUGGCGGCGUGCCUAAUACAUGCAAGUCGAGCGAACGGACGAGAAGCUUGCUUCUCUGAUGUUAGCGGCGGACGGGUGAGUAACACGUGGAUAACCUACCUAUAAGACUGGGAUAACUUCGGGAAACCGUAGCUAAUACCGGAUAAUAUUUUGAACCGCAUGGUUCAAAAGUGAAAGACGGUCUUGCUGUCACUUAUGGAUGGAUCCGCGCUGCAUUAGCUAGUUGGUAAGGUAACGGCUUACCAAGGCAACGAUGCAUAGCCGACCUGAGAGGGUGAUCGGCCACACUGGAACUGAGACACGGUCCAGACUCCUACGGGAGGCAGCAGUAGGGAAUCUUCCGCAAUGGGCGAAAGCCUGACAGAGCAACGCCGCGUGAGUGAUGAAGGUCUUCGGAUCGUAAAACUCUGUUAUUAGGGAAGAACAUAUGUGUAAGUAUCUGUGCACAUCUUGACGGUACCUAAUCAGAAAGCCACGGCUAACUACGUG